Molecule: ribosomal RNA, 465 nt
Filed under: uncultured bacterium
Lineage: Bacteria
Description: partial 16S ribosomal RNA
Rfam family: Bacterial small subunit ribosomal RNA
Source: RNAcentral
GACGAACGCUGGCGGCGUGCUUAACACAUGCAAGUCGAACGGAAAGGCCCUGCUUGCCGGGUACUCGAGUGGCGAACGGGUGAGUAACACGUGGGUGAUCUGCCCUGCACUUCGGGAUAAGCCUGGGAAACUGGGUCUAAUACCGGAUAGGAGCCAUUUUUAGUGUGAUGGUUGGAAAGUUUUUUCGGUGUAGGAUGAGCUCGCGGCCUAUCAGCUUGUUGGUGGGGUAAUGGCCUACCAAGGCGGCGACGGGUAGCCGGCCUGAGAGGGUGGACGGCCACAUUGGGACUGAGAUACGGCCCAGACUCCUACGGGAGGCAGCAGUGGGGAAUAUUGCACAAUGGGCGCAAGCCUGAUGCAGCGACGCCGCGUGGGGGAUGACGGCCUUCGGGUUGUAAACUCCUUUCGCUAGGGACGAAGCUUUUUGUGACGGUACCUAGAUAAGAGGCACCGGCUAACUACGUG